AACGCGAAGAACCUUACCCAGGCUUGACAUGCAGUAGACAGCGCCAGAAAUGGCGUCUCCCUUCGGGGCUGCUGCACAGGUGCUGCAUGGCUGUCGUCAGCUCGUGCCGUGAGGUGUUGGGUUAAGUCCCGCAACGAGCGCAACCCUUAUCAUUAGUUGCCAACACGUAAUGGUGGGAACUCUAAUGAGACUGCCUGGGUUAACCAGGAGGAAGGUGAGGAUGACGUCAAGUCCGCAUGGCCCUUAUGUCUGGGGCUACACACGUGCUACAAUGGUCGGUACAGAAGGCAGCGAAGCCGCGAGGUGAAGCAAAUCCAAAAAGCCGAUCUCAGUUCAGAUUGUAGUCUGCAACUCGACUACAUGAAGACGGAAUUGCUAGUAAUGGCGAGUCAGCAACAUCGCCGUGAAUACGUUCCCGGGCCUUGUA
This 427-nucleotide ribosomal RNA is filed under the name uncultured Chlamydiae bacterium. Its description in RNAcentral is "bacterial SSU rRNA". It matches the Rfam family "Bacterial small subunit ribosomal RNA", at positions 958 to 1385 of the family's 1533-position model. The record is from RNAcentral. Lineage: Bacteria; Pseudomonadati; Chlamydiota; Chlamydiia.